RNAcentral lists this ribosomal RNA (727 nucleotides) under Nocardia sp. RNAcentral describes it as "bacterial SSU rRNA". It matches the Rfam family "Bacterial small subunit ribosomal RNA", at positions 137 to 876 of the family's 1533-position model. The record is from RNAcentral. Lineage: Bacteria; Bacillati; Actinomycetota; Actinomycetes; Mycobacteriales; Nocardiaceae.
UUCGGGAUAAGCCUGGGAAACUGGGUCUAAUACCGGAUAUGACCCUGGAAUGCAUGUUCUGGGGUGGAAAGAUUUAUCGGUGCGAGAUGGGCCCGCGGCCUAUCAGCUUGUUGGUGAGGUAACGGCUCACCAAGGCGACGACGGGUAGCCGACCUGAGAGGGUGACCGGCCACACUGGGACUGAGACACGGCCCAGACUCCUACGGGAGGCAGCAGUGGGGAAUAUUGCACAAUGGGCGCAAGCCUGAUGCAGCGACGCCGCGUGCGGGAUGACGGCCUUCGGGUUGUAAACCGCUUUUGACAGGGACGAAGCGCAAGUGACUGUACCUGUAGAAUAAGGACCGGCCAACUACGUGCCAGCAGCCGCGGUAAUACGUAGGGUCCGAGCGUUGUCCGGAAUUACUGGGCGUAAAGAGCUUGUAGGCGGUUCGUCGCGUCGUUUGUGAAAACUUGGGGCUCAACCUUAAGCUUGCAGGCGAUACGGGCGGACUAGAGUACUUCAGGGGAGACUGGAAUUCCUGGUGUAGCGGUGAAAUGCGCAGAUAUCAGGAGGAACACCGGUGGCGAAGGCGGGUCUCUGGGAAGUAACUGACGCUGAGAAGCGAAAGCAUGGGUAGCAAACAGGAUUAGAUACCCUGGUAGUCCAUGCCGUAAACGGUGGGUACUAGGUGUGGGGCUCCUUCCACGGACUCCGUGCCGUAGCUAACGCAUUAAGUACCCCGCCUGG